RNAcentral lists this ribosomal RNA (434 nucleotides) under uncultured bacterium. Its description in RNAcentral is "partial 16S ribosomal RNA". It matches the Rfam family "Bacterial small subunit ribosomal RNA", at positions 29 to 507 of the family's 1533-position model. The record is from RNAcentral.
AGCGAACGCUGGCGGCAGGCCUAACACAUGCAAGUCGAACGAACCUUUCGGGGUUAGUGGCGGACGGGUGAGUAACACGUGGGAACGUGCCUUUAUGUUCGGAAUAACUCAGUUAAACUUGUGCUAAUACCGAAUGUGUCCUUCGGGGGAAAGAUUUAUCGCCUCUAGAGCGGCCCGCGUCCGAUUAGCUAGUUGGGUGUGGUAAUGGCUCACCAAGGCGACGAUCAGUAGCUGGUCUGAGAGGAUGAUCAGCCACAUUGGGACUGAGACACAGCCCAAACUCCUACGGGAGGCAGCAGUGGGGAAUCUAGCGCAAUGGGCGAAAGCAUGACGCAGCCAUGCCGCGUGAAUGAUGAAGGUCUUAGGAUUGUAAAAUUCUUUCACCGGGGACGAUAAUGACGGUACCCGGAGAAGAAGCCCCGGCUAACUUCGUG